Molecule: ribosomal RNA, 257 nt
Filed under: uncultured bacterium
Lineage: Bacteria
Description: partial 16S ribosomal RNA
Rfam family: Bacterial small subunit ribosomal RNA
Source: RNAcentral
UACGUAGGGUGCGAGCGUUAAUCGGAAUUACUGGGCGUAAAGCGUGCGCAGGCGGUUCGUUGUGUCGGCGGUGAAAGCCCCGGGCUUAACCUGGGAAUGGCCGUUGAAACUGGCGAACUGGAGUGUGGCAGAGGGGGGUGGAAUUCCGCGUGUAGCAGUGAAAUGCGUAGAGAUGCGGAGGAACACCGAUGGCGAAGGCAGCCCCCUGGGCUAACACUGACGCUCAGGCACGAAAGCGUGGGGAGCAAACAGGAUAG